Molecule: long non-coding RNA, 360 nt
Filed under: Actinidia chinensis (golden kiwifruit)
Lineage: Eukaryota; Viridiplantae; Streptophyta; Magnoliopsida; Ericales; Actinidiaceae
Description: long non-coding RNA (ACHI_LNC003655)
Source: RNAcentral
ACGGAUAGGACAUCAAUGAAACCGAAAGGGGUGGAGAGAGAGGAGCAAAUGACGUUUAUGUUGUUUUACCUAAGUUCAUCGAGCUCGAAGGCCUUGUUUAUGUCAGCAACUAAAUCUUGAUUCUUUGGAGGUGCAGCGGGAAGGGAAAUGAGGGAAGGGAACAGUCGUGUUAUUUCCACAAAGGAACAAUCGUCUUAUUGUCACUUGCAGGACUUCUUGGGCUAUACAAACAGUCAUGGACUUUCUUGGGCUAUACAAACAGUCGUGGACUGAUUGGAGUACAAAUCUUUACGGGAGACUUAAAGGUAAUCAACCCAAAAAAAUCUCUUCGUUUACUUAUGGCAGUCCAGGAAGAAACUA